GAUGAACGCUGGCGGCGUGCCUAACACAUGCAAGUCGAACGGAGUCCAGCCUUAGAGACCUUCGGGUCAAAGAGGGGAAGACUGAGUGGCGGACGGGUGAGUAACACGUGGGCAACCUGGCUCAUAGAGGGGGAUAACAGAGAGAAAUUUCUGCUAAUACCGCAUAAGCACACACUGCCGCAUGGCAGAGUGUGAAAAGAGAAUCGCUAUGAGAUGGACCCGCGUCUGAUUAGCCAGUUGGCAGGGUAAGAGCCUACCAAAGCGACGAUCAGUAGCCGAUUUGAGAGGAUGAACGGCCACAUUGGGACUGAGACACGGCCCGAACUCCUACGGGAGGCAGCAGUGGGGGAUAUUGCAAAAUGGGGGGAACCCUGAUGCAGCGACGCCGCGUGAGUGAAGAAGUAUUUCGGUAUGUAAAGCUCUAUCAGCAGGGAAGAUAAUGACAGUACCUGAAGAAGAAGCCCCGGCUAACUACGUG
RNAcentral lists this ribosomal RNA (478 nucleotides) under uncultured bacterium. RNAcentral describes it as "partial 16S ribosomal RNA". It matches the Rfam family "Bacterial small subunit ribosomal RNA", at positions 28 to 507 of the family's 1533-position model. The record is from RNAcentral.